Molecule: long non-coding RNA, 214 nt
Filed under: Elaeis guineensis (African oil palm)
Lineage: Eukaryota; Viridiplantae; Streptophyta; Magnoliopsida; Arecales; Arecaceae
Description: long non-coding RNA (EGUI_LNC062102)
Source: RNAcentral
GGAUGUUGUAUGAUAGAAGAAUUGAAUUACACAACAACUUACUAUUGAAGGAUAAUUUUGAUAUUUUUAUUAAAUUUUAUCUCUUCCGAAUAGUCAUGACAUGUUGGUAGACAUCAAUCUUGACUUGUGUAGUCUCGUAAGAAUUAAAGAAGUUUAAUUCAAAAAUUAAUUAAAAAAUAUUAUGAUUAAUUAGCUCAAUUGGGCUGAUCUAAUC